GCAAUUCUAUUUAAGUCUAUAAUUGAAAUUAAACAAAAGUAAAUUUGGACGAAAUGUUAUGAAGGUUCAUCAUUUUAUAUACAUUUAGUUAUAAAUAACCAUUAUCUAAGUUAAAUCAUAAAAACUAUUACCUCUUUAAUCAUCGGUCAUUUUGACCGCUCACGGUAGGAAUAGGAGCGUCCUGUUUUGCGAUCAAGUUUUCAGGACAGAAAAAAAAUUUAAAAAAAUACAUAAAAAAGCUCCGCUCCCCAGCGGCUUAAACCCAAAAAUUGUAUUAUACAACGAAAAAUGUAAAGCGCCGACACAUAAUACAGCAUGGCUACGUCGUAUCGCCGCGUAUCGGUACCUUUGCCUAACAUAUCAUUACAAAAAUUCACCGUUUAUUGUGAAUAUGUACCUAAAAUUGUAUUCUUAGGCUCAAUAAACAACUUUAAAUCGUAAAAAUCGUAAAUCGGUAGGAAUAGAUAUACGCGAAAUGUCGGUAGCUUUAGUGUUAAGCCAGUGAAAGAUCCGGCAAACGCGUUUUUCUCUCGAUGUCUCACGCGGACCAAAAGUACAUACGUACUUUGGCAUGGUAUGGCAUUAGUCCAACCGUUUUGCUUCUCUUGGGCUCGCAGACGCCACUUGCCAGACAGCACAACCGUCAUCCAACUUCGUAUAUACGUCUCAGGCUGAUAAUAUUGAGGAACUGUGCAAGAAACGGAAAACGAUUGUCCUCCUUCAAAGCAGACACGGAAAUAGACGCGACCGAGAUGAACAUCUUCUGCUUCAAUGAAUUUUGGUAUUCGAACAAUAUAUUCGAUCGCUUGCUUCGCCAUCAAAGAUAAUAUUUGCUUUUUAUAAAUUUUCCGUUGAAAACUUGAAACUAGUUAUCGGUGAAUUCGUAUGGAAACUAGUAACAGUAAAUUCAUGUUAAAUGAUCGAUUUGUAUUGAAAUUAGCAUGGAUAAUUCGACAUAGCUGAAAACUAUGCACAAAUUUUUAAAGAAGAAUGGAGGGAGAAAAGGAGAGACACGGGAGGAGAAUGAGAGUUUAGAAAAAAAAUAAGAAUAAAAGGAAAAAUAAAAUAUAAAAUUCAAUGUCAACGGAGGUGUAUAACAACUGGAUGAUAGAUAUAAAAAUUGAAUAUGUAUUUAGAGCAAAAAGUUUCUCAAAGAGUGGACUAAAACUAAGAAAAUACAUGCAAAGAAAAAAAGAAGAUUAUAUCACAGGAAGUCGAAGCUUAUAAUGGAUGUUAAAAAAGACCAAGUAGAAAAGAGGGACAAAAUACAAAAAGCAUAAGAAAGAAAAAGAUGUGAAAACCGUAUAAAAUAAAUAAGAAUGUGAGGCAGAAUAGCUUAAAGUAACACAUACAGAGGUAAAAUCAUGUAUCUUGCGAGAAGGGAAAUAUUACAUUUAAAAAUAUAUAUUAUAAAAGAAAUUUAUAUGUCGUGAUCUAAGUUACAAUUAGGUAAAUACAAAAUUUUAGUUAAUUAUAUACCGGUAAGAUAAUAAGUUUCACUUAUAAAAUUGUAACACACGUGGAAGGUUCAUAGGGUGUACGUAGUCAUUUAAUUCUUAAGAGUGAUUUAAUUUAUAUGAGUAACUUAUACAAGAUGUAUAAGGUCCCGAUAAUAUGUUAAAGUAACGUUUUAAACAAAAGUUAGUUAGUUUUCGGUUCACUACAUACUUGGGGUUAGGUAAAAACAGAAUUUUUCAAUAAAAAAAUCAGGAACAUAUUGACUUUUUUAAAUAGCACCAUAUAUUUUGGACUUCACAGAAUUAUAGCUGAUAUCAAGAUGAAUUCAAUGACUUACUACACUAUGAUCUUGAGGUGAUCUUGAAAUGAACUUUAAGUUCGAUUAACAGCAAUAGUUCAUCGUAGCGCUCAAUGCAAAACAAUAUUAUUGUUACCUUUGCAUAUUUCUAAUAAACUUGUUUUAUUUUUUUCGUCUUCCUAAGAACGGAUUUGUUCAUUCCAACGAACUUAGGUCAACCUAGAACGGGACAUCGAAUUUUGUUGU
This is a long non-coding RNA of Bombus huntii, 2002 nucleotides long. RefSeq lists it as uncharacterized. The transcript is spliced from 3 exons. The record is from RefSeq and is a predicted model, not a curated record. Lineage: Eukaryota; Metazoa; Arthropoda; Insecta; Hymenoptera; Apidae.